CACACAGCAUGGGCGUGUGCACACACUCAGAAGCCUGCGAUGUUAUCGCGGGAUAUCAUCCUGCCUCACUUCCUGUACUGGAUCGUCACUGUGCAUCACAUGACUGCAGGCUGCUUUUUGUCAUGGUCCAUGUUAAGCUUCUGGUGUGGAGCUGGAGCAAGUGCGUGAUGCUGGCCCUGUUGUAGGCUCUCUCGAGGAGUGCACACCGUGGGUGUAACCCCGAGAGCACACGUUAGGAGAACACACACUGCAGACCUGUAGCUCACACGCUUAAAUGAAGACGAUGUCUCAAUGACACUGAAAAACUCUGAGGACAAACGGAACAUGAAGAAGGCUGAGAAAACAUGACAGAAGCAGUGUGAUGUGGAACUUUAGACUGAACUCUGGAUCUGAAAAAGAAGAAAAUAGUAAGAAAACUGGUAAAAUUUGAAUAAAAUCUGCAGAUCAGGCUACCACAUGGAUGAGGUUAAGAAGCCUCCUGUGCAGUUGCCCCACUAUGCUGCAGAUCCAAAGCCACAGGUCAAAUAACCAUGGACCAAAACCACUAAAACCAUGA
Heterocephalus glaber (naked mole-rat) is the source of this 556-nucleotide non-coding RNA. The record is from RefSeq and is a predicted model, not a curated record. Lineage: Eukaryota; Metazoa; Chordata; Mammalia; Rodentia; Bathyergidae.